CCUACGGGAGGCAGCAGUGGGGAAUCUUGCGCAAUGGGCGAAAGCCUGACGCAGCCAUGCCGCGUGAAUGAUGAAGGUCUUAGGAUUGUAAAAUUCUUUCACCGGGGACGAUAAUGACGGUACCCGGAGAAGAAGCCCCGGCUAACUUCGUGCCAGCAGCCGCGGUAAUACGAAGGGGGCUAGCGUUGCUCGGAAUUACUGGGCGUAAAGGGAGCGUAGGCGGAUAGUUUAGUCAGAGGUGAAAGCCCAGGGCUCAACCUUGGAAUUGCCUUUGAUACUGGCUAUCUUGAGUACGGAAGAGGUAUGUGGAACUCCGAGUGUAGAGGUGAAAUUCGUAGAUAUUCGGAAGAACACCAGUGGCGAAGGCGACAUACUGGUCCGUUACUGACGCUGAGGCUCGAAAGCGUGGGGAGCAAACAGGAUUAGAUACCCUGGUAGUCCACGCUGUAAACGAUGAGUGCUAGUUGUCGGCAUGCAUGCAUGUCGGUGACGCAGCUACGCAUAG
RNAcentral lists this ribosomal RNA (505 nucleotides) under uncultured bacterium. RNAcentral's name for it is "bacterial SSU rRNA". It matches the Rfam family "Bacterial small subunit ribosomal RNA", at positions 338 to 862 of the family's 1533-position model. The record is from RNAcentral.